Non-coding RNA from Anolis sagrei ordinatus, 386 nucleotides. Lineage: Eukaryota; Metazoa; Chordata; Lepidosauria; Squamata; Anolidae. The record is from RefSeq and is a predicted model, not a curated record.
UUGCUAGCAUCCUUGCAGGGUAUGAAAAUACAGAAAUAAAUAAGCCAGGGCAAGUGAAAGACAAUUCAGUUUCCUGACUAGAUUCUAUCCAAUUGCAGAUGUUUUGCAAGUACGAAAAUGACAUCUUGACAAUUUUGGGAGAAUAUAUAAGAAGAAAUAGAAGAAGAAAUGACAAGCUUGACACCAUUCAUGAUGGGCUACAGCUAAAUUGCGAUGAAAUGGAGGGUCUGUUGCUAAGUAAAUCAUCAACUGAAUCUGAAAAGGAAUGACAAGACUGCAAGGAUUGUGGUUGAAAUGAGAAUACUGGAACUUUAUUGUAUUACACAUUCUUGUUCAAAGACAUGAUAAAAUACUGUACUGCGAAAUAAAUAAAACUGUAUUUCCAA